This 428-nucleotide ribosomal RNA is filed under the name uncultured Glomeromycotina. RNAcentral describes it as "SSU rRNA". It matches the Rfam family "Eukaryotic small subunit ribosomal RNA", at positions 569 to 996 of the family's 1831-position model. Lineage: Eukaryota; Fungi; Glomeromycota. The record is from RNAcentral.
AGCAGCCGCGGUAAUUCCAGCUCCAAUAGCGUAUAUUAAAGUUGUUGCAGUUAAAAAGCUCGUAGUUGAAUUUCGGGAUUGACGUGAUGGUCGUGCCUUAAGGGGUAUGAACUGUCGCAGUUGAUUUCUCACCUUCUGGAGAAGCAUGAUGUCCUUAAUUGGGUGUCAUGUGGAACCAGGACCUUUACCUUGAAAAAAUUGAGUGUUUAAAGCAGGCAUUUUGCUCGAAUACAUUAGCAUGGAAUAAUAGAAUAGGACGGCAUGGUUCUAUCUUGUUGGUUUCUAGGAUCACCGUAAUGAUUAAUAGGGAUAGUUGGGGGCAUUAGUAUUCAAUUGUCAGAGGUGAAAUUCUUGGAUUUAUUGAAGACUAACUACUGCGAAAGCAUUUGCCAAGGAUGUUUUCAUUAAUCAAGAACGAAAGUUAGGGA